CAUCUGCAGAGCUACCGACUAUAACAGUGCCAUGCCAGAAAGACACCAUCAGACACAGCAACCUGGUUGCUGAGGAACUAGGAUUCAAAAAAAAAAAAAGGAGAUGUCUGCACACAGAAUGUACAGAAAUAUGUCUGUCUUUGCCCAUGAUGGGAGAGGAAAGGCCAUUCUGUCUCUUGGUAGCAGAUGAAGAUUGGCUUUAGAGCUCAUCGGGAAGAACUAUGUCUUGACCAGCAUCCUUCAUCACUGAGGACACCAGUGUUCCUAUGUUGGUGAGUUGCCAGCUUUUCACACUCAGUCUUUUUCUAAUGCAGUCAC
RNAcentral lists this long non-coding RNA (318 nucleotides) under Rhinopithecus bieti (black snub-nosed monkey). RNAcentral's name for it is "lncRNA (ENSRBIG00000045311.1)". The record is from RNAcentral. Lineage: Eukaryota; Metazoa; Chordata; Mammalia; Primates; Cercopithecidae.